CCAAAAGCUGGCGACCGGCGCACGGGUGAGUGACACGUAUCCAACCUGCCUCAUACUCGGGGAUAGCCUUUCGAAAGAAAGAUUAAUAUCCGAUAGCAUAUAUUUCCCGCAUGGGUUUUAUAUUAAAGAAAUUCGGUAUGAGAUGGGGAUGCGUUCCAUUAGUUUGUUGGGGGGGUAACGGCCCACCAAGACUACGAUGGAUAGGGGUUCUGAGAGGAAGGUCCCCCACAUUGGAACUGAGACACGGUCCAA
RNAcentral lists this ribosomal RNA (252 nucleotides) under uncultured bacterium. Its description in RNAcentral is "partial 16S ribosomal RNA". It matches the Rfam family "Bacterial small subunit ribosomal RNA", at positions 80 to 334 of the family's 1533-position model. The record is from RNAcentral.